AGUGAACGCUGGCGGUAGGCCUAACACAUGCAAGUCGAACGGCAGCACAGUAAGAGCUUGCUCUUACGGGUGGCGAGUGGCGGACGGGUGAGGAAUACAUCGGAAUCUACUUUUUCGUGGGGGAUAACGUAGGGAAACUUACGCUAAUACCGCAUACGACCUACGGGUGAAAGCAGGGGAUCUUCGGACCUUGCGCGAUUGAAUGAGCCGAUGUCGGAUUAGCUAGUUGGCGGGGUAAAGGCCCACCAAGUCGAGGAUCCGUAGCUGGUCUGAGAGGAUGAUCAGCCACACUGGGACUGAGACACGGUCCAGACUCCUACGGGAGGCAGCAGUGGGGAAUAGUGGACAAUGGGCGCAAGCCUGGUCCAGCCAUACCGCGUGGGUGGAGAAGACCUUCGGGUUGUAAAGCCCUUUUGUUGGGAAAGAAAAGCAGCAGGUUAAUACCCCGCUGUUCUGACGGUACCCAAAGAAUAAGCACCGGCUAACUUCGUG
RNAcentral lists this ribosomal RNA (492 nucleotides) under uncultured bacterium. Its description in RNAcentral is "partial 16S ribosomal RNA". It matches the Rfam family "Bacterial small subunit ribosomal RNA", at positions 29 to 507 of the family's 1533-position model. The record is from RNAcentral.